Heterocephalus glaber (naked mole-rat) is the source of this 3615-nucleotide non-coding RNA. The record is from RefSeq and is a predicted model, not a curated record. Lineage: Eukaryota; Metazoa; Chordata; Mammalia; Rodentia; Bathyergidae.
UGAGAAAUACUGAUUUUACAUAUUUAUGGGGUACAGUAUGGUGUUUUUGUACACAUAUACAUUGUGGAUUAUCAAGUCAAGCUAAUUAGCAUAUCCAUCACCUCAGCUCAUUUCUUUGUGGUGAGAACAUUUUAACCCCCUUCUUUUUGAAUCUUUGAAAUACACAUUAUCUACCAUCACUGCGCGUGCAGUGGAGCACCAGAGUCUCUUCUGUUGUCUGAGUGACACUUGACUGUUCACCAACCUCUCCCCUUGCCCGGUUCCUCUCCCUCCUUCCGGUCACCACCAUUUCUACUUUCUACUUCUAGGAAUUAACUGAACUCUUGAUAAUAUACUUAAACCUUCCUUUUAAAAGCUACAAUUCCUAUUGUGUUUUGACUCUCAAGAUUUUCUUACUUCAUCUCAGAGUCAGUGUGACCCAAGAUUGGAGUUUGCUUUCAUGCAGUGAACUGAAGAGUAAGAACGGGUUGGUAAGGCCUCUUGAGGGCCCCUUAACAGCAUCUUUAUUAGACUCCCAUAAGGGUGACUUCAUAGUGAAGGCCAAAGCAUAAGAUUGGUUGGCUUUCGCCACCAGAGUAGUUGAUAUAACCUCUGGCCCGUCACACGCCCUGGGUAAUGGGGCCUGGUAUUUCAAGCUCUCUUUGGGGACUGGGAAUAUAGCGGAAAGUCUUAGAGUGCUGUUCUGGGCAUGGCUUUGUGACUAACUAGCCUGCAACCUUAGUCCAGGAACCUAUUCUGUGACUCUUUUCUUACCUGUGGAAUAAUAGGCUAGGUGAGUUCUAAGUUUCACAAGUAUGCAAUGCAUUUUCUGUUUUUCAGAGUGAACUAAUACGAGAAACCAACUCUGUAGAUGACAAGGUUAAUGAAAAUCUUAGACAGAUUGAUUGAGGACAUUGCAGCAGCCACAGAGACGUGAAAGAGGACUGCUGGAACUGCUUCAGAAGGCAGCAAGACCCGCGGGAGAACUGUCUGAAGUGAGGGAGGAAUACUUUGCGGGUGAUUAGUGGCGGAGAUCCAGCCCAUACCUGCUGUGACUACGGCAAGACCAGAAGUCGCUGUCAGGCGGUGGCACCCUGCACCCUGUUCCCGUGAUCAGAGCACCCUUGAUUGUGAGGACCCCCCUGUCUGGGGGCUGGACGUGGCCCUCGCUGUGUGGUUGGCCCUGCUGGCCCUAGUAAAUCUUGGCGCCCAGAUGGGUGACAGCCAUCCUGAUGUUGCCAUGCUGUCCCUGGGCUGCAGAUGCAAAGCUGUGCCCUGUAGCUCAUCUCCACUGAGGGCCAUCAUGGAUGAGGGAGAGGAGGGGAGAGCAGUUGCUGCCUGAUGCAGCUGUCUCCUUUUGAAUCAGCCACCCCCAUUUCCCAGGUGCCAGAAUAACUUGCCGGGCUUAGAAUGCUCCCGUCUCUACCUCUCCCGCCCGUUGCAGCAUGGUCACAGCUUUCCAGCCAGUCUUUUGUUGUGGAAGCUCUAAAUCCACGGUAGGGAAAUUACCAAGAGACUCUUCCCCAGUCUGCCCUCCCUCCCCUUGCUCCAUUUCUUUCUUUCCUUCCUUUGUCUCCUUCCAUAGCUAGGGUCAGAAUCCCUAGCCAGACUGAGAACAUGGUUGCUAUUCCAGGACCCAGAUGCCAAUAUGUGGCAGCAUCUGGCUUAUUGGCAAGCGUUGCCCGCAGUUGUGCUGGCUGCUACUAGGCCUGUCAUGUGGCUGAGCCUGCUGACGGGGGCCCUGUCACAAAAUGCAGUUUCUUUGAGAAUCUGGUCUCAACCAAGGAGCCCACCAGCAAACAGUGAGCUGCGAGGAGAGGACAUGCGUUAGUGGGCGGGCGGCUACGGACCGCGCUUUGAUCCCACCCUUGACCUGUUUUGCAGAAUCCCCGUUUCAUGUCCGGGAACCGGCUCCUCGUGUCACUUUACCUUCUUGUGGUGUUGUUGUUUCAGGUGCCUUAAGGCAUGGAGCUCCUUGAAAGAGAAACACAAAUCACUAAAAAUGCUGAGAUAAAAUCCUGCUCCUCAGAGGCGCCUGUUUGGCACAGGGAGCGCAUGAUAACAGCUUGCUUUAGAAAGGUGACAUUUCUGCUGAAGGCUGAAUAAUAAAAAAUGCAUUUAAAAAACUCAGCCCUUGCUUGUCUUCUGAUGGUUGACUUUUGAAGUGAAGGCCACUUCUUCAGUGUGAAGGGUCCUUUUGGAGGCUGGCCCUCAACCAUGGGAACAUUAACUUUUGUCAUCAUUGACGAGGCUGAGGAGCAUUUUAAGUUAAUUGUCACAUAAUAGGGUUUUAACUGCUUUCCUCAAGGUGCAAACACCGGGUGCUCAGAAUGUGUCAAGCUUUCAUUGUCCACAACAUGGAAGGGCAGAGACAAGAUGAGGAACAAGGAUGCAGGUCAUUGGUGACCAGAACACAAAUGCUUCCAUUAUUUCAUUCUUCCCCGAAGUCUGUGAUCGACUGGGGCAGGAGAUGCUCUGGGUUUUACAGAUGGAGACGCUAAGGUCCCAAGAAGGUGACCAUGCCAGUUGGCACAGCAAGCUACUAAGCUGGCACUGGGAUGGUGGUGGUUGUGGCUCUACCUCACCGAGCACAGGUAUGUUGGAUUUUUUUGUUAUAAACUCCUAAGGGCAGGGACUGUGUCUUUGACCUUUUUCAGCUCUGCCCCGAUCAGUAACCUUUCCACACCCCUGGCACCCAGCCCACGUAUUUCUCUUUUGAAACACACACAGUACAUAUAAUACAGGGCUUCUUUGCAAAAUGGACACCCAUGACUCAGAAGGGGAAGGAGUCAAGGGGAAGCAAAAAUUAACUUGAAUUAAAAAAUAAUGGUCCUGGGAAGAAAGAGAUGAUAACAGCAUCCUGCCCACAUACAAAGUCCCAAAUAAAGAUGUACACAGCAACUAAAUAGCAGGGUCAAAAAUUUGUAGGCAACAUUUGCAAAAACAAAGCAAAAUGACCCUAAGGUAACAAGAUACCCUAAAUCCCAAAAUACAGGUAGUUGGAGAUGAAAUACCAGCAGCCAAAGAUUGCACGGUGCAUGAGAGACAAAAAGGAGCAAGUGUCAUUGCACGUUGGCCCUGGAAACAGGAGAACUCCCAAGUCACCAGGUGGCCUUUGCUGGGGAGCUGCUGGCGAAAGACACGUUCCCUGCCCUGGCACCUGGUGUGGGCAAAGAGCUCAGGAUAAGAGGGCUCAGGGGGGCUCUGGUCUUGGGGUUCUUGAAACUGACCUUCUGGAGCUGCCUUCUGGACCAGGGCCUCCCACCUAAGGAAGGAGAAACUGCUGGGAAUGAAAUCAAAAGUGAGCAGGACAGGGACAGGAAGAGGAAAGUCCAGAGCAAAUGAAGAGUAGUCAGAGAGGCAGCGAAAUGUCACAAUUUUUUUUUUUAAACAUUUCACAAAAACAACAGAAGAGGGAGCUCUGUGAAGUUAGAAACUUUAAAAAACAUUUAACCUGUUUAAUUCUCAUAGUUUAGGAAAACCAAUUUCACAUAAAAAUCCACAACAGAAAAAAAGUCAAUAUCAUGUCCUGUGCAAAGAUAAUAAAGAAUUAAGAAUGAAUAAUAUCAUACACACUGAAAGCAUUCUAAAGGACGUGCUUACAAAAACAUCAAAACUAGGGCUGGGGAUUUAGCU